ACUUAAAUUGAAGAGUUUGAUCAUGGCUCAGAUUGAACGCUGGCGGCAGGCCUAACACAUGCAAGUCGAGCGGUAGCACAGAGAGCUUGCUCUCGGGUGACGAGCGGCGGACGGGUGAGUAAUGUCUGGGAAACUGCCUGAUGGAGGGGGAUAACUACUGGAAACGGUAGCUAAUACCGCAUAAUGUCGCAAGACCAAAGUGGGGGACCUUCGGGCCUCAUGCCAUCAGAUGUGCCCAGAUGGGAUUAGCUUGUAGGUGGGGUAACGGCUCACCUAGGCGACGAUCCCUAGCUGGUCUGAGAGGAUGACCAGCCACACUGGAACUGAGACACGGUCCAGACUCCUACGGGAGGCAGCAGUGGGGAAUAUUGCACAAUGGGCGCAAGCCUGAUGCAGCCAUGCCGCGUGUGUGAAGAAGGCCUUCGGGUUGUAAAGCACUUUCAGCGGGGAGGAAGGCGUUAAGGUUAAUAACCUUGGCGAUUGACGUUACCCGCAGAAGAAGCACCGGCUAACUCCGUGCCAGCAGCCGCGGUAAUACGGAGGGUGCAAGCGUUAAUCGGAAUUACUGGGCGUAAAGCGCACGCAGGCGGUCUGUCAAGUCGGAUGUGAAAUCCCCGGGCUCAACCUGGGAACUGCAUUCGAAACUGGCAGGCUAGAGUCUUGUAGAGGGGGGUAGAAUUCCAGGUGUAGCGGUGAAAUGCGUAGAGAUCUGGAGGAAUACCGGUGGCGAAGGCGGCCCCCUGGACAAAGACUGACGCUCAGGUGCGAAAGCGUGGGGAGCAAACAGGAUUAGAUACCCUGGUAGUCCACGCCGUAAACGAUGUCGAUUUGGAGGUUGUGCCCUUGAGGCGUGGCUUCCGGAGCUAACGCGUUAAAUCGACCGCCUGGGGAGUACGGCCGCAAGGUUAAAACUCAAAUGAAUUGACGGGGGCCCGCACAAGCGGUGGAGCAUGUGGUUUAAUUCGAUGCAACGCGAAGAACCUUACCUGGUCUUGACAUCCACAGAACUUUCCAGAGAUGGAUUGGUGCCUUCGGGAACUGUGAGACAGGUGCUGCAUGGCUGUCGUCAGCUCGUGUUGUGAAAUGUUGGGUUAAGUCCCGCAACGAGCGCAACCCUUAUCCUUUGUUGCCAGCGGUCCGGCCGGGAACUCAAAGGAGACUGCCAGUGAUAAACUGGAGGAAGGUGGGGAUGACGUCAAGUCAUCAUGGCCCUUACGACCAGGGCUACACACGUGCUACAAUGGCAUAUACAAAGAGAAGCGACCUCGCGAGAGCAAGCGGACCUCAUAAAGUAUGUCGUAGUCCGGAUUGGAGUCUGCAACUCGACUCCAUGAAGUCGGAAUCGCUAGUAAUCGUAGAUCAGAAUGCUACGGUGAAUACGUUCCCGGGCCUUGUACACACCGCCCGUCACACCAUGGGAGUGGGUUGCAAAAGAAGUAGGUAGCUUAACCUUCGGGAGGGCGCUUACCACUUUGUGAUUCAUGACUGGGGUGAAGUCGUAACAAGGUAACCGUAGGGGAACCUGCGGUUGGAUCACCUCCUUACCUUAAAGAA
Molecule: ribosomal RNA, 1554 nt
Filed under: Klebsiella pneumoniae subsp. pneumoniae KpMDU1
Lineage: Bacteria; Pseudomonadati; Pseudomonadota; Gammaproteobacteria; Enterobacterales; Enterobacteriaceae
Description: bacterial SSU rRNA
Rfam family: Bacterial small subunit ribosomal RNA
Source: RNAcentral